ACAACCUCCAUACAUAUUUCACCACAUCUAGAACACCCCAUACAAGGAUCAAAGAACCAAGUUAAGAAGUGAAUCAAAAUAUGGAUCUACACGAGAUAUCAUAGUGAUCUCAAGUCAAAGGAUCAGUUACAUAACUUUCAUUAGAGAAUCAUCAGUUGACAUGUAAAUAAGACUCCAUCUGAUAUUUUUUCGUAGAUCUAUUCAAUGAACUCAUUCUCUAAUA
Molecule: long non-coding RNA, 223 nt
Filed under: Elaeis guineensis (African oil palm)
Lineage: Eukaryota; Viridiplantae; Streptophyta; Magnoliopsida; Arecales; Arecaceae
Description: long non-coding RNA (EGUI_LNC016955)
Source: RNAcentral